This 24-nucleotide small nuclear RNA is filed under the name Arabidopsis thaliana (thale cress). RNAcentral's name for it is "snRNA_11044". Lineage: Eukaryota; Viridiplantae; Streptophyta; Magnoliopsida; Brassicales; Brassicaceae. The record is from RNAcentral.
UUACAAAUAACAUCUUGUUGUUGC